UACGUAGGGCGCAAGCGUUGUCCGGAAUUAUUGGGCGUAAAGAGCUCGUAGGCGGUUUGUCGCGUCUGCUGUGAAAUCUCAAGGCUCAACCUUGAGCUUGCAGUGGGUACGGGCAGACUAGAGUGUGGUAGGGGGAGACUGGAAUUCCUGGUGUAGCGGUGAAAUGCGCAGAUAUCAGGAGGAACACCGGUGGCGAAGGCGGGUCUCUGGGCCGAAACUGACGCUGGAGG
This 230-nucleotide ribosomal RNA is filed under the name uncultured bacterium. RNAcentral's name for it is "partial 16S ribosomal RNA". It matches the Rfam family "Bacterial small subunit ribosomal RNA", at positions 524 to 752 of the family's 1533-position model. The record is from RNAcentral.